GGGGGUAUAGCUCAGUGGCAGAGCAAUCGACUGCAGAUCGAUAGGUCCUGAGUUCAACUCUCAGUGCCCCCU
RNAcentral lists this transfer RNA (72 nucleotides) under Mayetiola destructor (Hessian fly). RNAcentral's name for it is "tRNA-Cys for anticodon GCA". It matches the Rfam family "tRNA". Rfam says of the family: Transfer RNA (tRNA) molecules are approximately 80 nucleotides in length. Their secondary structure includes four short double-helical elements and three loops (D, anti-codon, and T loops). The record is from RNAcentral. Lineage: Eukaryota; Metazoa; Arthropoda; Insecta; Diptera; Cecidomyiidae.